UGAGGAAUAUUGGUCAAUGGGCGAGAGCCUGAACCAGCCAAGUCGCGUGAGGGAAGACGGUCUUACGGAUUGUAAACCUCUUUUGCCGGGGAGCAAAGGGCGCCACGCGUGGCGUUUCGAGAGUACCCGGAGAAAAAGCAUCGGCUAACUCCGUGCCAGCAGCCGCGGUAAUACGGAGGAUGCGAGCGUUAUCCGGAUUUAUUGGGUUUAAAGGGUGCGUAGGCGGGCCGGUAAGUCAGCGGUAAAAUAGCGGGGCUCAACCCCGUCGAGCCGUUGAAACUGCCGGUCUUGAGUGGGCGAGAAGUGCGCGGAAUGCGUGGUGUAGCGGUGAAAUGCAUAGAUAUCACGCAGAACCCCGAUUGCGAAGGCAGCGCACCGGCGCCCUACUGACGCUGAAGCACGAAAGCAGUGGGGAGUCGAACAGGAUUAGAUACC
RNAcentral lists this ribosomal RNA (435 nucleotides) under uncultured bacterium. Its description in RNAcentral is "bacterial SSU rRNA". It matches the Rfam family "Bacterial small subunit ribosomal RNA", at positions 355 to 786 of the family's 1533-position model. The record is from RNAcentral.